This is a long non-coding RNA of Mytilus californianus (California mussel), 92 nucleotides long. RefSeq lists it as uncharacterized. The record is from RefSeq and is a predicted model, not a curated record. The transcript has 3 exons. NCBI's taxonomy places the organism in Eukaryota, Metazoa, Mollusca, Bivalvia, Mytilida, Mytilidae.
GGUCAACUAUAUUUGGUGUAUGGAAUGAUUGUAAGGUGUACAUGUCUAGCUGGCAGAUGUCAUCUGACCUUGACCUCAUUUUCAUGGAUCAG